RNAcentral lists this ribosomal RNA (740 nucleotides) under Acidobacteria bacterium SCGC AAA204-D14. RNAcentral's name for it is "bacterial SSU rRNA". It matches the Rfam family "Bacterial small subunit ribosomal RNA", at positions 40 to 816 of the family's 1533-position model. The record is from RNAcentral. Lineage: Bacteria; Pseudomonadati; Acidobacteriota.
CGGCGCGCCUAACACAUGCAAGUCGAACGAGAAAGCCGCAAGGCAAGUAAAGUGGCGUACNGGUGAGUAACACGUGGAUUAUCUACCUUCUAGUGGGGAAUACCGUUGGGAAACCGACGACAAUACCGCAUAAGCUCGAGAGAGGAAAGCAGCAAUGCGCUGGAAGAGGAGUCCGCGGUCGAUUAGUUAGUUGGCGGGGUAAAGGCCCACCAAGACUGUGAUCGAUAGCCGGCCUGAGAGGGCACACGGCCACACUGGCACUGAAACACGGGCCAGACUCCUACGGGAGGCAGCAGUGGGGAAUAUUGCACAAUGGGGGAAACCCUGAUGCAGCGACGCCGCGUGAGCGAUGAAGCCCUUCGGGGUGUAAAGCUCUUUCGGCAGGGACGAUUAUGACGGUACCUGCAGAAGCAGCUGCGGCUAANUACGUGCCAGCAGCCGCGGUAAUACGUAGGCAGCAAGCGUUGUUCGGAAUUACUGGGCGUAAAGGGUGCGUAGGCGGCUUUUUAAGUUUGUUGUGAAAUCUCCCGGCUCAACCGGGAGGGUGCGGCGAAUACUGAGAAGCUAGAGUGUGGGAGAGGAAAGUGGAAUUCCUGGUGUAGCGGUGAAAUGCGUAGAUAUCAGGAGGAACACCGGUGGUGUAAACGGCUUUCUGGACCAUAACUGACGCUGAGGCACGAAAGCGUGGGUAGCAAACAGGAUUAGAUACCCUGGUAGUCCACGCCCUAAACGAUGCAUAU